Molecule: ribosomal RNA, 473 nt
Filed under: uncultured bacterium
Lineage: Bacteria
Description: SSU rRNA
Rfam family: Bacterial small subunit ribosomal RNA
Source: RNAcentral
AGGACGAACGCUGGCGGCGUGCUUAACACAUGCAAGUCGAGCGGAAAGGCCCUUCGGGGUACUCGAGCGGCGAACGGGUGAGUAACACGUGAGUAAUCUGCCCUUAGCUCUGGGAUAGCUCCGGGAAACCGGGAUUAAUACCAGAUACAACCACUUUAGACAUCUGUUGUGGUGGAAAGAAUUUCGGCUAGAGAUGGGCCCGCGGCCUAUCAGCUUGUUGGUGGGGUAAUGGCCUACCAAGGCGACGACGGGUAGCCGGCCUGAGAGGGCGACCGGCCACACUGGGACUGAGACACGGCCCAGACUCCUACGGGAGGCAGCAGUGGGGAAUAUUGCGCAAUGGGCGAAAGCCUGACGCAGCGACGCCGCGUGAGGGACGAAGGCCUUCGGGUUGUAAACCUCUUUCAGCAGGGACGAAGCGAAAGUGACGGUACCUGCAGAGAAGCACCGGCCAACUACGCGCUAGCAGCCGC